Molecule: unclassified non-coding RNA, 888 nt
Filed under: Hevea brasiliensis (rubber tree)
Lineage: Eukaryota; Viridiplantae; Streptophyta; Magnoliopsida; Malpighiales; Euphorbiaceae
Source: RNAcentral
CUAUAAUGUUUUUGUAACUUAUAAGCAGAAGGGUUUCAAGUAUUUGCUUUGUUAAAGAGACAAAAACAAGGAAAUCAAAUGUGCACCCUAGAGAAGAGAGGCAACAUCUACAUCCUAACUCUGACCGGCUCAGGCGAGCACCGGCUCAAUCCUACUCUCAUCGACUCCAUCAGGUCCGCUCUGCGUAGACUCCAUGCUGAGCCAACCUCUCCUUGCUCAGCUCUCAUCACCACUGCCCAUGGCAAAUUCUUCUCCAAUGGCUUUGACCUUGCCUGGGCACAAUCCUCUCAACAACGUCUUCAACUCAUGGAUUCAAAACUCAAAUUACUUGCAUCAGAUUUCAUAUCUCUUCCUAUGCCAACGAUAGCUGCAGUCACAGGCCAUGCAUCAGCAGCUGGAAUGAUCUUGGCACUGUGUCAUGACUAUGUCCUCAUGAAGAAAGACAGAGGGUUUCUCUACAUGAGCGAGAUGGAUAUUAGACUUGUUAUACCAGAAUGGUUCAUGGCUUUAUUGAAGUGCAAGACAGGGGAUCCUAACGUCAGGCGUGAGGUUAUCAUGACGGCCGCCAAAUUAACGGCUGAAAUGGCGGUGGUGAGAGGGAUUGUGCACUCUGCACAUGAUAGCGCAGAGGAGACGGUUGAUGCAGCAGUUAGGUUGGGAGAGGAGCUGGUGAAAAGAGGUUGGGAUGGUGAUGUAUAUGGGAAGAAUAGAAUGGUGCUUCUGAGCGAAGUUUCAAAGAAAAUUGAGCUGGAUCAUGAUACGGUAGAGGAGGAGAUGAAGACCAAGUCAAAACUGUAAUGGUGGUUGCUGAGAGAUGCCAAAUAGGGGAGUCAAAGUUGUAAUGCUUGGUAAAAUAUCGUAUUUGGCAUCUCUCAGCAACCACCAUUA